This is an RNA transcript of Melanotaenia boesemani (Boeseman's rainbowfish), 2310 nucleotides long. RefSeq lists it as uncharacterized. NCBI's taxonomy places the organism in Eukaryota, Metazoa, Chordata, Actinopteri, Atheriniformes, Melanotaeniidae. The record is from RefSeq and is a predicted model, not a curated record. The transcript has 3 exons.
UAGAAAGCAGCUAGUUGCGAUUAGAGGCACUCUAGUUGCGAUCUUCCAGUUGUUAUUGUUGCUGGACAACAAUUUGGUGUUCGUUGGAAGUUUGUAAACAAAAGUAUGACAUGUGGAUGAUCAUAUUAUCUGGAAAAGGUAUGGAAAAUGAAUCCUCGUUGAUGAAAAAAAGUAAACGAAACCGGAAAGACCACGGCAGAAAACCAGGAGAAACGUAGGCGUCGCCUUUCCCAGGUGGAAAUCACUGAUAUACGAAAGAUGUUUUCAGAAAGGCACCGAAUUUCUUUUCUCCUGGACAGGGACAGCGUGAAGAUAAAGAGCAUGUGGGACCAUCCUGGAGGCGGGAGGGAGCCCUUUCUCCUCCCCAGGAGGGACCAUCGAGCCCAGUUAUACAAGCAAGUUGUUCCUCAGAAAGACUUCCACUCCAGCCGAAAAUUCCAGGCUCUGAUCUGACCUUUCAUUUCUGUCCUCAGCUGUCAUCCAGUGUCCAGAGUGGGAAGGGUGGGGAGGAGGAUAGGAAAAGGGAGGAAGAAGAAACGAAGAAGAGGCAGGAUGAGGAGGAAAGGAAAAGGAGGAACACGAAGACCUCCAGGUUGAGGACCGGGAGGAAAGGUUGAGUGACAGCUGGAAGAUGAAAACAGAGACGUUGUAAUAAAUAAUGAAGCCCAACUGAUAUGAGUCUUUUUUUAGGCUGAUUGGGAUGUUUGGCAGAAAAAAAUUCCAAUAAUUGAUCAAUCAGACGAUUAAUUAAAAAAAACAUAAUAAAUAAAAUAAUUUCUUUUUUGGUCCUGUAGUGCUUACAACAACAAAGAUGUGAAUAUCAAGCAGAACAUUUUACUGUUGUAGCUGCAGUUACUAACUAGUUUUAAGCUAACGCUAUGCUAGACGGAGUAACGUAAGCUAGCAAUCACCACAGAAGCCGUCGUAGUGACUGUAGGUCUUAUUUUUUCCUGCUGAUCUGAACAUGAAGCGGCUCAAACAAAUUCUCUUGAUCAGAUUAAAAAAUUCUUUCCAAUCGAGACAGAUUGGCUCAGCUGACAUUUUUACAUCAGGCAUUUUUAUUCUGAUUGGACGUUCACGCUAUUGUUAAUUUCACAACGUCGUUAUAAACUUACCUGUCGGCAAGCUUGACUCCGCUUGUAAUGCUGCCUGGCUGUGGCUUACUCCUGUAGUCACUGGGAAAACCGUGAUGAGGACUGAGGGUUCAGACUCCAUCUUUUGGACAAACGAGGCAACAUCAUCAUUCUGCACGACUCCAACACUAAACAGCAUUUACUCUUUUAUGAGAAAUUGAGAAUAUAUUGGCGUUUAAUCUGCAAAACUCCAGAUGAUUAUUUUGAAAGGUCUAUAAUCAGGCGAUUUAAUUCGCCAGCCGAUAAAACUGUCUGGCCCUAAAAAUAAUCAUUACAAUCUUGUUCUGGACAGGGGAAGCUUCCCCAAGCCUGACUCUGGGCUACAGUCACCUCGGACAUACCUGAGUUUUGUGGAUUGUUGUUUUGUAACUUAAAUUAUCUCUUAGUCAAUAAGGCUGGUUGAUCAUAACAGAUACCCGUAAGGAUUAAAGCACAAUCAUUGUCUACGACAAUUUUAUGUUCACUAGUGACUAACACCACAUUCAGUGUUUUCAGCAGUUUGUCUCGGCUUUGGUCUGCAGAAGACUGUACGUUCUGGCCUUAAAUAAUGGACAGUUUUUAAACAUUUGCUCGCAAAAUGUUCAGCCCACAACUAAGCAAAGGCUAAUUCAGCAUCCAUCUUGCAUCCUGUCUCUUCUCUGAGCUCUCUCCAAUCUGUAAAAGUCAGUCCAAUCUUGACUCUAGUCCUGUCUCCUGCUCUGUACCUUUCUGCAUUACUUUCCUCUCUUUCCUCGAUAAUGUCCUCUUCUAGGAUUUUUAUUGUUGAAUCAGCCAUGGUGCGCGCUCCAAACAGCCAGUGUGUUGAUAUCUAGUUUCCGUGAUGUGAUGCCUUGAAGCAAAAGGAAUCUGUCAUGUGACGCUCCAGGCUGGGACACAUGUUGUGAAGUUGGUUUCUCAGCCUCAGGAAGCUGCAGGGCAACGACGGCUCCAGGAAUGAACAGAAUAAAUGUCACUGUGCCUUUAAAACAAGUCAGACAACAUGGAGGUUUAAGAUUAAACGUGUAUAGUAUUGAUGAAAUGUUCAUGUGUGUUUCAGUGUUACCUGGAGGUGUGCAGCAGCUGAUGGUGAUAAAAGAAGAGGUUCCCUGGAGCUCCAGUCUGGACCACCAGGACCCAGAACCCCUUCAUAUAAAGAAAGAGGAGGAGGAACUCUGGACCAGUCAGGAGGGAGAGCAGC